This 432-nucleotide ribosomal RNA is filed under the name uncultured bacterium. RNAcentral's name for it is "partial 16S ribosomal RNA". It matches the Rfam family "Bacterial small subunit ribosomal RNA", at positions 29 to 506 of the family's 1533-position model. The record is from RNAcentral.
AACGAACGCUGGCGGCAUGCCUAACACAUGCAAGUCGAACGAGACCUUCGGGUCUUGGUGCGCACGUGUACGUGCCGCGUGGGAACUUACCCGUAGGUUCGGUGUACCUCACCGAAGGGGGUCCUAAUACCGCUUAAGCUCUUCGCGCCUAAGAGUUAUCGCCUUGGGAUGGGCCCGGGUUGGAUUCGGUAGUUGGUGGGGUAAAAGCGUACCAAGACGGCGAUCCUUAGCUGGUCGGUGAGGAGGAUCAUCGACACUGGGACUGGGACACGGCCCAGACUGCUGCGGGAGGCAGCAGUGGGGAAUAUGGGACAGGGGGCGAAAGCCUGAUCCAGCAAGGCCGCGUGAGUGAUGAAGGGCUUAGGGUUGUAAAGCUCUUUUACCCGGGAUGAUAAUGACGGUACCGGGAGAAUAAGCUCCGGCUAACUCCGU